UAGUAAUCGCGUAUCAGCCAUGACGCGGUGAAUAUGUUCCUGAUCCUUGUACACACCGCCCGUCAAGCCACGGAAGCGGGGAGCGCUCGAAGUCGUUGGUCCAACCUUCGGGAGGACGGCGCCGAAAGCGAGCUCCGUGACUGGGACUAAGUCGUAACAAGGUAGCCGUAGGGGAACCUGCGGCUGGAUCACCUCCUUUCUAA
RNAcentral lists this ribosomal RNA (203 nucleotides) under Planctomycetota bacterium. Its description in RNAcentral is "Planctomycetes bacterium partial 16S ribosomal RNA". It matches the Rfam family "Bacterial small subunit ribosomal RNA", at positions 1336 to 1533 of the family's 1533-position model. Lineage: Bacteria; Pseudomonadati; Planctomycetota. The record is from RNAcentral.